UACGUAGGGUGCGAGCGUUAAUCGGAAUUACUGGGCGUAAAGCGUGCGCAGGCGGUUCGUUGUGUCGGCGGUGAAAGCCCCGGGCUCAACCUGGGAAUGGCCGUUGAAACUGGCGAACUGGAGUGUGGCAGAAGGGGGUGGAAUUCCGCGUGUAGCAGUGAAAUGCGUAGAGAUGCGGAGGAACACCGAUGGCGAAGGCAGCCCCCUGGGCUGACACUGACGCUCAGGCACGAAAGCGUGGGGAGCAAACAGG
Molecule: ribosomal RNA, 253 nt
Filed under: uncultured bacterium
Lineage: Bacteria
Description: partial 16S ribosomal RNA
Rfam family: Bacterial small subunit ribosomal RNA
Source: RNAcentral